RNAcentral lists this transfer RNA (66 nucleotides) under Lepidodactylus lugubris. RNAcentral describes it as "tRNA-Pro". Lineage: Eukaryota; Metazoa; Chordata; Lepidosauria; Squamata; Gekkonidae. The record is from RNAcentral.
CAAAAAAUAGUUUAAUUAAAAUACUAGUUUUGGGGACUAGCGAUAGAUGUGACUAUCUUUUUUUGU